UACGGAGGGGACUAGCGUUGUUCGGAAUUACUGGGCGUAAAGCGCGCGUAGGCGGAUUUGCAAGUCGGUGGUGAAAGCCCGAGGCUCAACCUCGGAACUGCCCUCGAUACUGCAAAUCUCGAGUCCGAGAGAGGUGAGUGGAAUUCCUAGUGUAGAGGUGAAAUUCGUAGAUAUUAGGAAGAACACCAGUGGCGAAGGCGGCUCACUGGCUCGGUACUGACGCUGAGGCGCGAAAGCGUGGGGAGCAAACAGG
Molecule: ribosomal RNA, 253 nt
Filed under: uncultured bacterium
Lineage: Bacteria
Description: partial 16S ribosomal RNA
Rfam family: Bacterial small subunit ribosomal RNA
Source: RNAcentral